CUCGCCUGUUUUUCAAAAACAUGGUUUUUUGUUGGAAUAAAAAAUCUAAUCUGCCCAAUGAUUAAGAAUUGAAUGGCCGCGGUAUAUUGACCGUGCGAAGGUAGCAUAAUCAUUUGCUUUUUAAUUGGAGGCUGGAAUGAAUGAUUUGACGGAAAAGGUCUGUCUUAAUUUUACGUUUUUAAGUUUACUUUCUAGUGAGAAGGCUAAAAUGUUAUCAAGGGACGAGAAGACCCUAUUAAGCUUUAUUUUUAUUAUUUUUUUCUUUUAUGUUUUCAUAUACAAAAAAUAGUGAAAAUUUUACUGCGGCGGUAGAGAAAGAGAAAGAUCUUUUUUUAAAAAUUAAAACAUUUAUGUUAAUUUUUGAUCCAUUAUUAAUGAUAAAAAGAAGAAGUUACUAUAGGGAUAACAGCGUAAUUUUUUCGGAGAGUUCAUAUCGGCGAAGAAGUUUGCGACCUCGAUGUUGAAUUAAAGAGUCAGUAAGGCGAAGAAGUUUUAUAUGAGGGUCUGUUCGACUUAUUUCC
Molecule: ribosomal RNA, 521 nt
Filed under: Carcinoscorpius rotundicauda (Southeast Asian horseshoe crab)
Lineage: Eukaryota; Metazoa; Arthropoda; Merostomata; Xiphosura; Limulidae
Description: partial large subunit ribosomal RNA
Rfam family: Bacterial large subunit ribosomal RNA
Source: RNAcentral